UCCUUUCCUUUUAUUUAGUUUUAGUAAUAUUUGUGUAUUUUUGUAUGUGGUUAUUAUGUGCGUGUCAGUAUUAGUUUAGUUUAUUUUUGGUAAUGUUGUGUGUUUUCUUUGUUAUUAUUGUUUGUGUUUAGUUGUUAGUUGUUAGUUUAGUUUAAGUUUUAGCUUAGUUGAUUAGUUUAUGUUUUAGCAUCAGAUUAGUUUAGCGUAAUGAUUAUGUGGGUUGACUUAGUUUAAUUAGUAUGCGUAUAAGGCUUUGCUUAGUUUUUGUGUAGUAUUUACUCAUGUGUUCUGCCAAAAUGCUCAUUAGUUCAUUAAUAGGAUUGUGAUUGGUGUAAAUAUUGCCCAACUGUUGGCCUGAUUAGCUUAAUUCUGCUUCAUAUAUCUCACACUUUGUUUGUUAGUUUGUGUCAAUACUUAACUAAAUAUAUGCUAGAUUAGUUCAAUCACUGGCAUAGUUUAAUUUAAUCACUAUGCAAUGGACAUAGACUAGUCAUUAGCAUUAUAGAACCUGACUUGACUCAACUCAUGACUGAAAGAUGCCUAAUCCCAAGCAUGUUUAAAUAAUGUUCAAUCUUGCUCAGUUUUAUGUGAAAUCAUAGCCUCAAGUUGUUCAUUAGUUUAAAUGUCUUCUUUGUGCUUUAUUUGACUCACAGCAUGGCACUAGUUGAGCCCCCCUCCCUCUCCCUUCGUUGGUUUAGUAUGGUUAUGGUUGGAUUGUGUUUAUGUAUGUUGGUUAAUAUGUUUAACCCUGCUUAGGACUAGUGUAAGACUUUUCUGAAACUUAAUCUGGUCUCAUAUGUUUAUAUGUUAAGAAAUUCUUGGAUUAGGUAGAAAUGUAAAACAUGUAUAUUGUUUUGAAAUGAUGUUGGAGUGCUUCAUUGGAGCUAAUGUGUCUUUGUUUGAAUAACCUGAAUAGUAGUACAUUUGGCAUGAUAUUUGUUUCUGUGUGGUUGUUAUGUUACCAUAUGUUCGAAAUGCUUUAUGUGUCUGUGUGAAUAAGCUGCUAAACCAGUGAAUCUAGUAUCAGUUGUCAGCCUUAUCAUGUCUCUAUUAUGUUCUUUUUUAAAGAGGGAUCUUCAUGAAAACCGAGCCUUAUGACAAUGUUAGGUAGCAUGUAUUAAGUCAUGAACUUGCCAUCUACAUUAUUCAAGUAUCUUUUUAUGUGUGUACUUGUUCAUGAAUGGGGGAAGUGAUUAGACAGGACAUGGCGCAUUUCCUGCUUACCGAGGACAUGACCUUAGAUAGGAGGGUAUGGAGGACUCAUAUUAGGGUAGAAGGCUAGUAAGUAGUUGCGUUUAUCCUUUCUUACGAGUAGCUGUGUUGCUCUAUAGUUUCUUGUCUCUUGAUUUCUGCGAGUAUCUGUUGGUUUAUAAUGGUUUAUAAUGGCUUAUUUACUUUCACUGUUUUCAUUUUCAUAACUGCUUUGAUGUGUUUGCCCGUAUCUGACCUUUCUUAUGCUUUCUCUUGAGCCGAGGGUCUUCCGGAAACAGCCUCCCUACCUAAGGUGGGGGUAAGGUCUGCGUACACCCUCCCCAGACCCCACGUUGUGGGAUUAACUGGGUAUGUUGUUGUUGUUGUUGUUGUUGUUGUACUUGUUCAUGAAUGGUUCAGCCCUUUCUCAAUGUUGGUGUUUGGUUCAAAUUAGCUUGAGCAUCAUUAAACACUUGUUGGUUGCUGAAUAAGUGAAUAUGCAUCUCAUGAACUUGUCAUCUAAUUCUAGCUCAAAUUCUCAGCACGAAACUUGAUUUGUACCCUGACUUAUAACCUCAUGUUAGCACUAGUGAUUAUUCUUGGCUUAUGCAUAUGCAGAACUCAAUUUACUUCACUAUUAGGUUUAAGUCAUUAUGUCUUACCUGCUUGAUGUGAUAUGGACAACCUGAUAACAAUCUAAGUUUCUAUAAAGGUACUGAACUAUGAACCCUGAGCUUAAAUGCUUAUCUGUCUUUAAAGACCAAAUAUGUACCUCUUUGUCAGGGUUGAACUGUUGAAUGUUUGUCCAAGCAUAUGCUUAAACUGAAUAUGUGUGCUAGAUCUAUUUCAUUUGAAUUCUUAUGCAUGUGUCAGGUGUUUGACUAUAAUGAGUAUAUGGUUCAUGUGUUUAUUUGUCACAAAGCAUGUCCAGACAAAGCAUAUGACAGUUGUUAGAAAGGAAUUAUGUUUCAGUAGUUAUAGGUAGCGAAGGUCUAUGUGGCUAAUAGGAUAAAUUUUAAUCUGAGUUAGUUGAACACUAUGGUUGUUAUGGUUUGAGAGUCCAUGAACAUGCUAUAUGCUAUUAAAUACCAUGUGAAUGACCACUAUUUAAAGAAACUACUAAGACUAUGCUUGAGGGUUAGGGUCAAUAGCAUAUUCAAGUUUUUGAAAGAUUAUUGUACAUACAUAUGGUAAUGUGCUAGUCUAAUGGAAUGUUUAGAGUCACUUUUUUUGUCUUUAAUGAGCAUACACAUGUUCAUCAUGCUAAAGAAAUCGAUUAAGACCUUUGUGCUUGUAUUGUCAUAUCUUAUGAAUGAAGGCUGAUGGCCUGAAAAGAUGGGAACCUGGAAAGAUAAAGGGUUGGACUUCUUUAUGCUAAGUUGGACUGAUAGGACUCAUCUACGGUAAAAAUAAAGUUUUCAUGAUCACAUAAGUAUAACAGAAGCUUAAGAGGUUGUCACUUGGAUAAGGUAAGGCAAAGAGUGAUUAUCCUAGGGCUAGGAAGAGAUUAGGAAAGACUUGGAGUUCAUUUACUCAGUCUAGUACUACUGAUCCUAGGCUGUUGGGGUUCCUCUUUGUUGAACCACACUCCUAUGGGACCCUAUAAGGUUUCAAUAAAUGGGAAAAGGGAAAAUACUAUGUAAAACUAAUAUGUUAACAUGAAAUAUUGGGGUCUGUGUGCAAAGAUAGUACUGUACAAGUGUAGUUUUGUUCCUUCUUAGUAUUUCUGUGAUGUGCUCUGCUCUAUUGUUCCUUAUGUAAUGAAAUUAGAUUGAUAUUUCUCUUCAAAGAUAAUCUAGGCUGUGACAUGCCCAUACUGUGCUAUCUUUAUGUUUAAGAUACUUUCCAAGUAGUUUGAAUUCUCUUGUGACUUUUUUUCCAAGUGUAAAAAGAAGAAGUAAUGAGGUAUAAGGGAAAAUUAUGUGAACCACUUUCUCUCUGUCCCCUUUCUUUUUCUAUGUCCCUGGAUUUCUGAAUGGUCUGUUUGAUGAUUUGAUCUUGAAAGAAAAUAUUCCCUUUGGCUGCGCAUAUCCCUUGUCAACCUGAGUGUUUUGUUGAAGCUUUCUUAAGACCUUGAACUGAUUGAAACCAUGCACUUCCUCUGUUUAAAUGCCCUACUUGAAAGUUGAACUUUAAGUGUAAACCAUAUAUGGAUGAAAAUGAACACAGUUCAUGGAGCUUUUAUGUCCUUCCCCUCUCCCCUACAAAUAAACUGAAAUCUGAGCUGCUGUGUCAUUUUGUUUCUAUAAGUAUUGUGAUAGUCCUCAAGGAGUAAAUAUGCUGAAUAUAUUGGUGUAUAUCUUUUGUAUAUGUGCGUAUACAUGUAUGCUUAAGAUUGCUUCAAGAUGAAUGCCAUACCCUUCUUGCUUACACUGCCUCUCUUCUUCUUUUUCCUGCCUGUUUGAUAUUGCUAUGAUGGAGUAUACACUAGAUAAACACAAGAUAUAUGCUCCUUAUAUACCUCGGUAUAUAUUGGGUUGUAUAUCGUGUAUACCCAUGGUAUACGAUGCUAUUGCUUAUAGAUUAGAACUGAUAUCAGCCGAAUUGGGCCUGUCCUUUUAAUGCUAUCUCUAUUGGGCUUUCCUGGCUAUUAUUUGCACACAACUUGCAUUAGGCUUGUUUGUUUAUUUUUUGGUAAAAUUAACAGAAUGACUAUCUUUUGGUAGUUUCCUAUCAUUUAUAGCUACCUUUUAAAAAUUACCAUUUGUAGCUAUGUUUUCCCAAAUUAAGGUAUUUUUUCGGAUGUAUUUGAUGCUUAUAAAUACAUAGUAACACAGUAAAAAAAUAAAACAUAUCCCUUGAUUUAAGGCCAUAACAGUGGGAUCAAUUAAUUAGCUAUUAAUUGGUAUUUUUUACCAUAUCCUUCCACAAAAUUACCUUUCCAUAACCAUGUUCUAUUCCUCCAUCCAAUCUUCAACAUUCAAACAUAAAAAAUAAAAAAUUUGAAAUUUGAAAACAUUCAACAGCCAAUAUAUUUGAAGUUUUCAAUAUUGAUUUCGUUCUUGAUUUACCCAUGUAUUUGAUAGCAUAACUAAUGUAUUUGAAGUUUUCAAUCAAACCCCAUGUAUUUUAUAUUAAAUCUCAUGUAUUUGUGUGAUUAACAAUUUGCAUCACCCAUGUAUUUUAGCGGUAAUGUAUUUGAAGUUUUCAAUAUUGAUUUUGUUUUAAUUUACACAUGUAUUUGAUAGCAUAACCAAUGUAUUUGAAGUUACCAAUCAAACCUCAUGUAUUUUUAUAUUAAAUCUCAUGUAUUUGUGUGAGUAACAAUUUGCAUCAUACAUGUAUUUGAUGGAUUAAUUUGAACAAAAUACACAAAUAUAUAGAAAACUUACAAUGUAUUUUCGUUACUCAUGUAUUUGAAACUAGAUGAACUGAUGAAAUUAAUUUGAACAAAAUACACAAAAAUAUAGAAAAACUUACAUAAAUACACCACCAAUCACAAACAAUUGGUAGCUAUAUCAUAGAACAUACACAAAUACAUAUAUUUUUCAUCUUCUCAAAAUCCUAAAAAAUCCUAGACCACUAAAAAAAUUCUAGCCACAGAGCAAAUGCAACUUGGUCCAAAUUUAUGGGCACUGGUCCACAGCCCAAAAGUCUUGGCAUUUACAGCUACAACUUGCCCACAAUGGGAGAUAAGCCGUCAACCAUAAUGAAUGAUCAUUCUAGUUGGAACGUCAUUCACAUAAAAAAAAAUAGAAAGAUUAAUUGCCUUCUUAUGUUUAAUUUGUCCACAAAGCUUGAAAACAUGGAAACCAAAAAAAAUUUGAGAGGGGUGGCCGCCACCCGUCGUGGUGGUGGUUGAUAGAAGGAGAGAGAAUUUUUUUAGGGAUUUGAGAAAUGAAAAAUCUGAAAUAGGUAGUGAGUGAGAAUAGAAAAUGUCAAAAUUUUAUGAAAAAGGAGAGAAUGAUAAUAUAUAUUAAGUGAUUAAUAUUGUUACCAUUAAAAGGGGGAUAUGAGAUUGGGAGUGCUAAAUUUUAGGUGUAGUGCACCAGUAACUGAAAAUUACUGUGUAGCUAUAUUAGUUAAAUUCAAAAAGUAUUUAGUUAUUAUUAGUAAUUAAAACAAAAGGUAGUUAAUAUCACUAAUUAUGUACUAAAAGUAGCUAUAACACGUAAUUUUUCCUUAUUUUUUCCUUAAGUAUAUUUGGGCCUGUUCUUUCCCAUUUGUUUGGCAUUAAUUCUCCUUACGAUACUUCAAUAGACAUAACUGAAUUAUAUUAGAUAUGUAUAUACUUAUAUAUGUGAUCAUGCUUAAAUGCUUCCCUUUAAGUUCUUGUUAAAUUAGUCAUUAGACAUAGAUGCUCUAUAACCUCAAUUCUCCUUUUCCCCUUUCCCUUUUUGCAUGGAACUUAACCGACAUGGGCUAUUUGGGCCAAAUUCGCACAAGCCACUGUUGGCCCAACAUUGUUUUCUUGCUUCCAUCGAGUCCGAGCAGAAUAUUAAAGGCCCAAUUUGGGAGAAAAUGGUUAACUGGUGGGCUCGGUAGGCCCACCAGUCUUCCCUUCUUUUAUUUUGUUUAUGUAUGUGUUUGAGGAUGUAUUGUAAUGGAUGCUUGUAAUAUUGAAACUCAAUUGGUUAGACUUAGACGAAUUAAGCAAAACGAUAUGUAUAUCGUUUAGAAUGGAUAGGAACCCAAAUAAUUUUCAAACCUGGACCCGACAAAAUAUAAAUAUUGCUUCAAAGAAAUUGACAAAAAUGACAUUUUAAAUCUUUUCUUUACAAAGACUGGAAAACUGGAACCGUGGAGUGUAUUGGCACUAUUUUCUAACUUAGAAUUUUCGGAAAAACUGGCAACAAAACAGUGAGAUUUUUCAGAAGAAAAUGCAAUUCCUUUUCAACUUAAGAAAUUUUCAAAAGAAGAAGAAGAAAAUUUGAUUUGUGAAAAUAAAUGAAAUGGGCUUCAAAAUGAUUUCAAAGUGCCUUAGAAGAUUUUUUAAACAUUUUUUUUCCAAGCCCACUUUAAGUUGAAUAAAACGAGGAAUUCUACUUGGGCCUUAGUUUGAGGAAAAGGUUCAAAAUGGAUAAGGUUGACCUUCACUAAAUUAAUACACUUUGUUAAACCUUAUAAACUUAUGUAUACCACAUGGCUUUUGGCAAAUGAUUUAUACUUGAAAUUAUUUUCAAUGAAAACUUGUAAGGGAAAAGGGACAUACCAUUUGGACUAAAUUAAGUGGAACUCUACUCGAGAGAAAUUAUGGUGUGUUUUGGUCCGAAAAUGAGAUGACCCUGCUAACCUUAUACGCAUUUUUUCAAAAUAAAAAAUAAAAAAAAUAAUAGGAGUUCAACUUCUUUUCUUCAAAAACAAAAUUUUUUGCCUAAUAUUUCAAAAUGAUAUGCAAUGACAAGUUAUACAAGAUUUUAAACUAAUAUAAGCAAAAUAAUUACAAAAUCACACUUGAAGCUCAAAGGUCAACCGUAUUCUACGGAUUCUUAAUAUUAGGGUGUAUUAACGCCUUCCCAGAGGAAUAACCAGAACUCUUAUCUCGAACUCUGGUUUUAAAGGAUUUUUCUCUUGUUUGGAGAAACUCUUUAAAUUUGGUUUUCAUAAUUUCCCUUAUAUAUUAGGCGGCGACUCUAAAAAACAAUAAAUCCAAAACAGUCCACAAAUUCGAAGUAGCUUUUAUGCCUUGCGUAAAAGUGAACCGUAACACCUGUGGUGGAACCUCACAUGAUUAAGCAUGAUUUUGAUCAUUUGGAGGACAUUAGAUACAAGCAAGAAGAUGAAACUUCGGAGAAAAACAUAAAACAAAUAGCAGCUGAAGGGGACAUCUCUCCAAGACAAAUGAGUAAGUUACAGCAAAGUGAAGCAAAGACGAGGGCAUCUAGAAACAGAAGUAUACCUCCCAUAGGAGUACGAACAAGGAGUAUUAAAUCCAAAACUCAAGGUAUACGAUGAUAGACAAAGCCUUAUUUUGGAACAUCAGACCAGUUAACACUCAAGAAUCAUUUGAGAGGUUAACUGAGUUGAACAGAAGACAACAAUAUUCAUACAUAGAUAUAAUGGAACCUUUUUAAGAUGUUCUAAUCGGAAAACAUAUAGAAGGCAACUGGGGUUACAACAUGGUUUGAUUAAUGCAUCAGGUACAAUAUGGAUUUUUUGGGAGGACGAUUGGCAAGGUACAAUGGUGGAGGAUACAGUUCACUCUCACGAUGUAGCAUAAAUGUGUGUAGCAAGAUUUUCUAGUCUCUGCAAUACAUGCAAAAUGUGAUGCUACUGAAAAAUUAAAAUUGUGGGACUCAUUAAAACAUUAGCUGAUAUCAAUUCUAUCCCUUGGAUAGUAGGAGGAGAUUUCAAUGUUAUUAUUUCAGGGGAAGAAGGACUUCCUGUGACAAUCAAUGAAACAGUCGAUUUCUCUAUGUGUAUCACUUCAUGCGGAUUAAUAGAUUUGAGAUUUAUAGACAAACAAAUGCACUUGGUGGAAUGGUAGAACUGAAGAGAACUGUAUAUUCAAAAGACUGGAUAGAAUUCUGUGCAAUCAAGAAUUUUUAGAUCUCCUUCCAUCAAGUGAAGUUUCUCACUCGAUAAGGCAUAGUUCUGAUCAUGCACGCCUACAUUUGGAAUGCAGUGACAAUGAGCAGCCAGCAAUCAGAUCUUUUAAGUUUCUUAACUUCUGGGCUUCUCAUAAAACUUUUAGUGAUGUAGUGGAGCAGAACUGGACAACUGAUUUUACUGGCAAUCUCUGUUAUGUCUAUCAACACAAAAUUAAAAAGGAUUAAAAGUGCUUUAAGUCGGUGGAGUAAAGAUACUUAUGAAAAUAUAUUUCAACAAAUUGCUAUUAAUGAAGAUACUAUUCAACGUAAAGGAGUUGCAGUUUCGGAUUAAUACAUCUAUGUCCAAUAACAGUUAUUCAGAUCACAUGCUGAGCUUACUAGAUACUUGCAUCUGAGGAGAAAUAUUAGAAGCAAAAAUCAGGUAUGAGGUUGUUUAAAGAUUGAGAAAGAAUAGAUUACUCUCUUUUGGUGGAAGAUUCAUACUGAUCUCUCAUGUGCUACAGACCAUGCCCAUCUAUUUGUUAUCAGCUAUGAAUCCACUAAAAGGAGUCAUUAACAACAUACAUCAGAUAUUUGCCAAGUUUUUCUGGAGCAAUACAACAGGAGUAAAAGGCAAACACUGGGUAGCAUGAGACAAACAUUGUUUCCUAAAAUAAGGAGGGUUUAGAUUCAGAUCUCUGCAUGUUACGCCUAAUGCACUCUUUGUUAAGUUAUGGUGGAAUAAUAGGACUUCAAUAAUCUUAUGGAUUCAAUACAUGGUUAACAAGUAUUGCAAGAAGUUAAACCCAGUAAUAGCUACAGGAAGAGGGGGUUCACAUGAUUCAAAGAAGAUAAUUUUACUCAGAGAAGAUGUAUAACACCUGACAGUGGCGGAGCUAGUAAGAGCCAACGGGGUUCAACCCCCUUCGGUGAAAAAUUACACUGUAUAUACAAGGUGAAAAUUAUUUUUUAUGUAUAUAUAGUAUACGUUGAACCCCCUUGUCUUCUUCGGUUGUCUGCUUCUUUAUAUUUUUGAACCCCCUUUAUUAAAAUUUUGGCUCCGCCAUUGACGCCUGAUUUGGUUGAAACUAAGACAAGGAAAUUUCAGUUUUUGAUUUGAAAGCUAGAUGAACCUCGAUGCCUUAUACUUUAUCCUACCUGAAGUACUGAGAGAGGAAGAGAUAGAGGUCACAAUCUUUGUACCAGAUGGAACAUGGAAUACUAAGCUAUUGCAUGAUAGUUUGCCAGAAUAGUUUGUUUAGCAUAUUACAAAAAGGUAAAACCUCCUAUAUAUUCUUGAAGAGGGAAAUGAUACAAUUUUUUGGGCUUUGGGAAAUAUGGAGGAGCAGAUGCAGUGUGAAAUAUGACAAAGACAAACAUGACAUGAGAAGAUCCCUUUCCUUAAUCUCUUUUAAUCUUGCUAACUUUGUGAAUUCUCAUUUUCAGAACAUCAAGAUUGAUGCUAACUGGAAUAACAUAUUGACUGUGAAAGUGAUGAUUCGCUUUCGUAAACAGCAUCUCGAAUCGCAAAGAUGUCACUUGGAUAAUCUCCAGCAGGUAACCUCCAUGAUUGAGUACCAGAGUUGGUUUGAGGCUAUCUCGUGGGGCUUCCGUGAGUCAGUUGUACUUUCACCAUGCCCUGCAUAUAUUUAUCCACAUAGGAGCAAUACAACCACCUAACCUUUGCCACAAUGCUAUGUGAUAAUGAGAUUCUCGAUAAUAAGCAUAACAUGAAAGUUGGCGAUUUGGCACGGAAAAUUUCAGCACCUACUUUGCUCCCUUUAACACCGAUGGAGUCUACCUUCGAGGCUGGGAAAUUCGAGAAAAGAAGGGUAGAAAAGUGCAAGUUGAAGGCUCAAAGAAUGUGGUUCAACAGAAGUUGGUUGCUACCACAAAUAUCGAAGAGGAGUUGGUUCUAGAGGAGUUUUCUCCAAUUGUCUAGGGAUUAUUCACCAUCUUCACAUCUGGUGCUCGCUUCCAUGACAUUCGACCACACAACAAAAUUGAAUUACUAGGGACUAUCCCAUUUUGUAGUUGUGUUGAUAAUUGAUUCGACACAUGGCAAGAUUUUGAAGUUGAUUCAUGUGUGCCUUUAUUUGUUGAAUCUGAAGAGCUAACAUAAAUUUCACAUGAAGGAUCAUGGUUGAUUCCUUUUCAUGGUUGUGAGUCUAUAUUGCUGCAUGAUAAGAACUUCACGAUGGCUAA
This is a long non-coding RNA of Lycium barbarum (goji berry), 9866 nucleotides long. RefSeq lists it as uncharacterized. The transcript has 2 exons. The record is from RefSeq and is a predicted model, not a curated record. Lineage: Eukaryota; Viridiplantae; Streptophyta; Magnoliopsida; Solanales; Solanaceae.